GUUGUAAGGUUAAGAAAUUAAGCGUACACGGUGGAUGCCUAGGCAAUCAGAGGCGAAGAAGGACGUGUUAAUCUGCGAAAAGCGACGGUAAGCCGAUAAAAGGCGCUAUAGCCGUUGAUGUCCGAAUGGGGAAACCCAGUGUAGGUGACUACACUAUCAUAUAAUGAAUUCAUAGUUAUAUGAGGCGAACCGGGAGAACUGAAACAUCUAAGUACCCCGAGGAAAAGAAAUCAACCGAGAUUCCCUAAGUAGCGGCGAGCGAAAGGGGAGGAGCCCAAGCGGGUAGCAUGAUGUAUUAGUGGAAGCGUCUGGAAAGUCGCACGAUAGAGGGUGAAAGUCCCGUACAUGAAAAUGCAUGAUGUGGAAGCUUAUAGAGUAGGGCGGGACACGUGAUAUCCUGUCUGAAGAAGGGGGGACCAUCCUCCAAGGCUAAAUACUCCUGAUUGACCGAUAGUGAACCAGUACCGUGAGGGAAAGGCGAAAAGAACCCCGGGAGGGGAGUGAAAUAGACCCUGAAACCGUGUACGUACAAUCAGUGGGAGCUGUUGCCGUUGGGUAAUAGUGACUGCGUACCUUUUGUAUAAUGGGUCAGCGACUUAUAUUCUGUAGCGAGGUUAACCGAAUAGGGGAGCCGAAGGGAAACCGAGUAUUAACUGUGCGUUAAGUUGCAGGGUAUAGACCCGAAACCCGGUGAUCUAGCCAUGGGCAGGUUGAAGGUUGGUUAACACUAACUGGAGGACCGAACCGACUAAUGUUGAAAAAUUAGCGGAUGACCUGUGGCUGGGGGUGAAAGGCCAAUCAAACCGGGAGAUAGCUGGUUCUCCCCGAAAGCUAUUUAGGUAGCGCCUCAUGAGUAACUGUUGGGGGUAGAGCACUGUUUCGGCUAGGGGGCCAUCCCGGCUUACCAACCCGAUGCAAACUCCGAAUACUGACAAGUUUAAUCAUGGGAGACACACGGCGGGUGCUAACGUUCGUCGUGAAGAGGGAAACAACCCAGACCGCCAGCUAAGGUCCCAAAGUCAUAGUUAAGUGGGAAACGAAGUGGGAAGGCUUAGACAGCUAGGAUGUUGGCUUAGAAGCAGCCAUC
This 1087-nucleotide ribosomal RNA is filed under the name Gilliamella apicola. RNAcentral's name for it is "bacterial LSU rRNA". It matches the Rfam family "Bacterial large subunit ribosomal RNA", at positions 1 to 1120 of the family's 2925-position model. The record is from RNAcentral. Lineage: Bacteria; Pseudomonadati; Pseudomonadota; Gammaproteobacteria; Orbales; Orbaceae. RNAcentral also lists the same sequence under 1 other name.